This 253-nucleotide ribosomal RNA is filed under the name uncultured bacterium. RNAcentral describes it as "partial 16S ribosomal RNA". It matches the Rfam family "Bacterial small subunit ribosomal RNA", at positions 524 to 776 of the family's 1533-position model. The record is from RNAcentral.
UACGGAGGGUGCGAGCGUUAAUCGGAAUUACUGGGCGUAAAGCGCGCGUAGGCGGCGUGAUAAGCCGGUUGUGAAAGCCCCGGGCUCAACCUGGGAACGGCAUCCGGAACUGUCAUGCUAGAGUGCAGGAGAGGAAGGUAGAAUUCCCGGUGUAGCGGUGAAAUGCGUAGAGAUCGGGAGGAAUACCAGUGGCGAAGGCGGCCUUCUGGACUGACACUGACGCUGAGGUGCGAAAGCGUGGGUAGCAAACAGG